Long non-coding RNA from Pistacia vera, 306 nucleotides. RefSeq lists it as uncharacterized. The record is from RefSeq and is a predicted model, not a curated record. Lineage: Eukaryota; Viridiplantae; Streptophyta; Magnoliopsida; Sapindales; Anacardiaceae. The transcript is spliced from 3 exons.
CUUUCAUCCCCUAUUUCUCUCAAUUUUUCAUCCAAGAUUCCAAGGAUUCUUGAAGAGCUUUUUGACUAGAAUUUGUUACAAAUUGAUCCUAAGUGCUAAAAGGCUAAGAGAAAGUGUCAAGCCAUCAAGAGUGGAGAGUUUAAGUGGGUUCUACUUGUGUCCAAGGAAAUAGGUGAGGACUUGGUCGGAUGGACGUCGGCAAGCGUGGAGAUUUGGCUGCACUGUCCCUUGUUUCGUUUUGUUUCGAAAGUCCUUGUACAUAUGAUGUUUUGUUUUGUAACGAAUGUGAUUACUAAGUAAAGAAAA